Molecule: long non-coding RNA, 252 nt
Filed under: Manihot esculenta (cassava)
Lineage: Eukaryota; Viridiplantae; Streptophyta; Magnoliopsida; Malpighiales; Euphorbiaceae
Description: long non-coding RNA (MESC_LNC012701)
Source: RNAcentral
ACACAUAUACAUAUAUGACAGGAAGACCAGGUGCUCGAUUCUACGCCCUGGCACAGAGUUACUGGGACUAUGUGGUGACAGGUUUACUCUUGAUGUGGCUUGUCUGUGAUAUGAUGCAUUCCAUGAGAUCAUAUUUUACUGAGAUGUUUUACUGUUCUACUCACUGGGCUAUAGAGCUCAUCCCACUCCCUUAACCCCAGUUUUGCAGGUUCAGUGUACAGUGUACAGGGACAGUCCAGCAGAGUACAGGAA